ACAUAGUAGGUGCUCCAUAAGUAUUUGUGACGCUACCUAUUAAAAGAAGACGAAGGCACUGUGGUUUUAUUAAUGACAUUGAGAGGUUUUGUCUUUCACUACAUGCAAAAUACACACCUAGAAAAAUGGCAGUAAGACGUGUGUAUUGUUUGGUUGCUGUUACAGGUUCCUGAACCCCUCGGAAUCACCCCAAGGACCAGCAUUUGAGAACUACCAAGAUAAGGGUGCGGAGCACUGGGUUGACGUGCUGCAGACGGGAUUCUCCCUAAGCCACCUGGCGGUUCCUGAGCCUGGGUUUCCUGGUGUGGCAGAUGGGAGCAAUAACUCGUCUUCCUACCCAAGAGGGUGGAGGAGAGAACAGUGCUGACUUGUGCAGACAGACCCCAGAAGCUCGGAAGGCCCCAGCACACCUGCAGACCCCCCCUACCAUCAUGACCAACAGGCUCCCAGAGAAGCAGAGGCGAGCCCCGUUGCUGAGGCCUCUGGCCUCCCACUUUGAGCUAGGAGGACGACUCCCAGUCUGUUGGCCAUCCCAGGGCGAGGCAGUUGGGUAUGCAUUUGCCCUGGGUGCAGCUCCCCAGGAGCCACAGAAGUUGUGUGUUGGCUCCACCCGGGAAGGUUCCCCCGCUCACGGAAUGCACAUCUUUUGCCUUUAACCUUGACGAUUGCAACUGAUACUCAAAAAUCUAUUCUAGGUCAGGUUCCUCUGCUGUUUCCUGUUGUCUCAAGAGAGCAGGAAAUUUUAAAAUGUGUCAAAACAUUUUAUCUCUGACCUUUCUGUUCAUAGGAAGGAAGAAAGGAGGGAAAAGGGAAGGGGCUGUGGGAGAAGUGCCCUGCACACAGAGGAUCAGGAUGACUGAUCAGCCGCCCUCUGUGUUCACCAGGGAGUCGCGCUGUGUCUCAGCAUGGCCACCAACUACUGCACACAGGUGUACCCAGCGUCGAGACACCCUGCUCCGGUGUCUCCUGGCUCGUGAUCGACACCUGAACAUCGCCAACCGUGCACUCAAAUCACGUUGCAUUUUUAAAACCUGGGCUCUGUGAACCGUUCCACACUGACGGGCAACUGUAAAGUCAGAACGGCUUGGGAGAGUCAUUCAUGUGGCAGAACAGGACUUUAUCGUGUGAAGAGAAUGUCGUCUCCGAGUCCACUUCCUGGCAGGUGGGUGGGUAGGUGGUCUCCUGUCCAAAGCUGCUCUGAACCAUGGGCUGUGCAGUCCUGGGCCAGUCUCUUGGAGGACGAGACCUGCCUUCCUGCUGGUUUGCACCAGGAGUGGGGUUGCUGAGCAGGAGGGCCCCUCGCCCACUCAGCAGGUGAGACCAAGCCUCUCCCCCUCCCAGAGCCAGGCGACAGAGGAGAGCUCCCUCCACCCUCCUCCCUCAGCAGUUCUCGGCAUGGACGCUGUUUGUUCUGCUCCUCUGCCCAACACGCUGCGCCCUCUCAGCACGCCACGACCCGCUCUUUUCUGGGUGCUAACGCGUGAGCCUCUUUGCCUGUGUUUAUUGGCCAUUUGAACAUUCUGUCAAGUAUCUUUGAGUCCGUUCCUUUUUCUGUUGGGUACUUUGAGCUUUGCGUAUAGACUUUAUAUCAAGGAACUUUGUUAAACUCGCUUAUUGUUAUGGAUAAUUUAUCUGAAUCCUAAUUAAUUUUUUAAUUUUCUAUUUUUCUUUUUACUUUUUAAAAAUUCUACGUACCUCUAUAUAUUCUCUAUCUACCCAAGUCACUGUGAACGCUGACGGUUUUAUUUCUUUCUCUGUGAUCCCACGUCUUGUGUUUCCGAUCGCGACCUUGCUGCACUGGCAGGACCUCCAGCGUAGGGGAGGAUAGAAAUAGUGAGCUCACAGAGGUCCUCGGCUGGCUGCCAGUCUCAAAGGGGAGGCUUUGGACAUUUCACCAUCAAAGAUGACCUGUUGUGCGUUUUCUCCAGUUACCCACAGACAAAUCGAGGCAGUUCCUGUCUGCGCCCCUACGUGAGUCUACUUCUCAUGCACAAAUGUCGAGUUUUGCAGAACGCUUUCCCUGUACCCACGGACACGAUCACAUUGUUUUACUUCUUUAUUCUGCUAAUGCGGUUAAGUUCACAAUGAUCGAUUUUUCAAAUAUUUGACAGCGGCAAUUUUGACAUUCAAGAAUGUCCCCCAAGGGCCUGAGUGUUGGGGGCUUGUCCCCUAGUCUGUGGUUCAGUGGGGAGGUGGUGGAACCCUGAAGGGUGGGGCCCCGUUGGAGGAAGUUGGUCACCAGGGGUGUGCCCUUGAAGGGAUGCUGGAAUCCAGUCCCUUCCUGCCUGUCUCUCUGCUUCCCAGCCUGUGAGGGAAACAGGCCUCCCCUGCCAUAUGUCACUGAGCUGCCACAGGCCCAAAGCAUCAGGAUCAGACAACCCUGGAAGCUCUGAAACCACAGCCAGAGUAAACCUUUCCUCUUCUGGACUUGAUUCUCUCAGGUAUUGUGUCACAGUGACGAAAAGCUGACUAAUCGCAGCCUUGCGCUCCUGGAGUAAACCCAGCCUUGUCAUGAGAUGCAGUCCUGCUCCUAUGUUGUUGGCUGUGAGAAUCUGUUAGGAUUCCUCUCAGGUUUCUCCUCUAUGUUCAUUCAUGAGCUUAGUCUGUAACCGUCUUCCCCCUGUAACGUCAGGUUUCUGUAUCAGGGAUGUGCUCUUAGGGACAGUUGAAAAACGCUUCUCUUUUUCUACCCAACAAAACAAUCUCUUCACUACUUGUUAGAUGUGCCAGUGAAGCCAUCCAAUUCCAGAGAUUGUUGGAGAGGGGACAGAGUUAAAUCCUGGAUCUCCUUAUUUUAACAGUUAAGGGACUAAUCUGGUUUUAUUUUUUUUAAUGUCAUUUUGAUAGGUUAUGUUUUUUAAGGAAUUUGUCCAUUAUUAUCUUAAUUUUUAAAUGUUUUAUAAUAAAGUUAACCAUAAUAUCCUCUCUA
Ictidomys tridecemlineatus (thirteen-lined ground squirrel) is the source of this 2929-nucleotide long non-coding RNA. RefSeq lists it as uncharacterized. Lineage: Eukaryota; Metazoa; Chordata; Mammalia; Rodentia; Sciuridae. The record is from RefSeq and is a predicted model, not a curated record.